AGGGGAGUAAAAUGAACUCAAUGCGAUCAAUUGUGAUCCAUUCUUAGUAUACAUCCGUUACGGUCUGUUUGUCGCUUCUGGCGCCUUUAUCGGAGCUUUUUUUUCCCUUUCUAAUUUUGAAUGCAACAGUUUGUUGGAAGCAUAGCUAGAACCAGUUAAAAAAGAAUUAGUACAGAUUCCUCUAAAUCGUGUAGAGUCGUGGACAGUGGUAGCAGUUCAUGACAACGCAAAUGCUGCACAAGGACACAAACACAAGAAUUAAAAAGAAAAAGAAGUCACUGCUGCUCCGAUGUGCAACGAAUGCUGCCAAGCAAUCCGAUGAGCCUUUCC
This 330-nucleotide long non-coding RNA is filed under the name Setaria viridis. RNAcentral's name for it is "long non-coding RNA (SVIR_LNC005876)". Lineage: Eukaryota; Viridiplantae; Streptophyta; Magnoliopsida; Poales; Poaceae. The record is from RNAcentral.